This 292-nucleotide ribosomal RNA is filed under the name uncultured bacterium. RNAcentral describes it as "partial 16S ribosomal RNA". It matches the Rfam family "Bacterial small subunit ribosomal RNA", at positions 505 to 796 of the family's 1533-position model. The record is from RNAcentral.
GUGUCAGCAGCCGCGGUAAUACGGAGGGUGCAAGCGUUGUCCGGAUUUAUUGGGUUUAAAGGGUGCGUAGGCGGCCUUGUAAGUCAGUGGUGAAAGCCUCCAGCUCAACUGGAGAACUGCCAUUGAUACUGCAAGGCUUGAGUACAGACGAGGUUGGCGGAAUUGAUUGUGUAGCGGUGAAAUGCAUAGAUACAAUCAAGAACUCCGAUUGCGUAGGCAGCUAACUAGGCUGUAACUGACGCUGAGGCACGAAAGCGUGGGGAGCGAACAGGAUUAGAUACCCUCGUAGUCC